Molecule: ribosomal RNA, 2925 nt
Filed under: Escherichia coli
Lineage: Bacteria; Pseudomonadati; Pseudomonadota; Gammaproteobacteria; Enterobacterales; Enterobacteriaceae
Description: 23S ribosomal RNA
Rfam family: Bacterial large subunit ribosomal RNA
Source: RNAcentral
GGGUUGUGAGGUUAAGCGACUAAGCGUACACGGUGGAUGCCCUGGCAGUCAGAGGCGAUGAAGGACGUGCUAAUCUGCGAUAAGCGUCGGUAAGGUGAUAUGAACCGUUAUAACCGGCGAUUUCCGAAUGGGGAAACCCAGUGUGUUUCGACACACUAUCAUUAACUGAAUCCAUAGGUUAAUGAGGCGAACCGGGGGAACUGAAACAUCUAAGUACCCCGAGGAAAAGAAAUCAACCGAGAUUCCCCCAGUAGCGGCGAGCGAACGGGGAGGAGCCCAGAGCCUGAAUCAGUGUGUGUGUUAGUGGAAGCGUCUGGAAAGGCGCGCGAUACAGGGUGACAGCCCCGUACACAAAAAUGCACAUGCUGUGAGCUCGAUGAGUAGGGCGGGACACGUGGUAUCCUGUCUGAAUAUGGGGGGACCAUCCUCCAAGGCUAAAUACUCCUGACUGACCGAUAGUGAACCAGUACCGUGAGGGAAAGGCGAAAAGAACCCCGGCGAGGGGAGUGAAAAAGAACCUGAAACCGUGUACGUACAAGCAGUGGGAGCACGCUUAGGCGUGUGACUGCGUACCUUUUGUAUAAUGGGUCAGCGACUUAUAUUCUGUAGCAAGGUUAACCGAAUAGGGGAGCCGAAGGGAAACCGAGUCUUAACUGGGCGUUAAGUUGCAGGGUAUAGACCCGAAACCCGGUGAUCUAGCCAUGGGCAGGUUGAAGGUUGGGUAACACUAACUGGAGGACCGAACCGACUAAUGUUGAAAAAUUAGCGGAUGACUUGUGGCUGGGGGUGAAAGGCCAAUCAAACCGGGAGAUAGCUGGUUCUCCCCGAAAGCUAUUUAGGUAGCGCCUCGUGAAUUCAUCUCCGGGGGUAGAGCACUGUUUCGGCAAGGGGGUCAUCCCGACUUACCAACCCGAUGCAAACUGCGAAUACCGGAGAAUGUUAUCACGGGAGACACACGGCGGGUGCUAACGUCCGUCGUGAAGAGGGAAACAACCCAGACCGCCAGCUAAGGUCCCAAAGUCAUGGUUAAGUGGGAAACGAUGUGGGAAGGCCCAGACAGCCAGGAUGUUGGCUUAGAAGCAGCCAUCAUUUAAAGAAAGCGUAAUAGCUCACUGGUCGAGUCGGCCUGCGCGGAAGAUGUAACGGGGCUAAACCAUGCACCGAAGCUGCGGCAGCGACGCUUAUGCGUUGUUGGGUAGGGGAGCGUUCUGUAAGCCUGUGAAGGUGUGCUGUGAGGCAUGCUGGAGGUAUCAGAAGUGCGAAUGCUGACAUAAGUAACGAUAAAGCGGGUGAAAAGCCCGCUCGCCGGAAGACCAAGGGUUCCUGUCCAACGUUAAUCGGGGCAGGGUGAGUCGACCCCUAAGGCGAGGCCGAAAGGCGUAGUCGAUGGGAAACAGGUUAAUAUUCCUGUACUUGGUGUUACUGCGAAGGGGGGACGGAGAAGGCUAUGUUGGCCGGGCGACGGUUGUCCCGGUUUAAGCGUGUAGGCUGGUUUUCCAGGCAAAUCCGGAAAAUCAAGGCUGAGGCGUGAUGACGAGGCACUACGGUGCUGAAGCAACAAAUGCCCUGCUUCCAGGAAAAGCCUCUAAGCAUCAGGUAACAUCAAAUCGUACCCCAAACCGACACAGGUGGUCAGGUAGAGAAUACCAAGGCGCUUGAGAGAACUCGGGUGAAGGAACUAGGCAAAAUGGUGCCGUAACUUCGGGAGAAGGCACGCUGAUAUGUAGGUGAAGCGACUUGCUCGUGGAGCUGAAAUCAGUCGAAGAUACCAGCUGGCUGCAACUGUUUAUUAAAAACACAGCACUGUGCAAACACGAAAGUGGACGUAUACGGUGUGACGCCUGCCCGGUGCCGGAAGGUUAAUUGAUGGGGUCAGCGCAAGCGAAGCUCUUGAUCGAAGCCCCGGUAAACGGCGGCCGUAACUAUAACGGUCCUAAGGUAGCGAAAUUCCUUGUCGGGUAAGUUCCGACCUGCACGAAUGGCGUAAUGAUGGCCAGGCUGUCUCCACCCGAGACUCAGUGAAAUUGAACUCGCUGUGAAGAUGCAGUGUACCCGCGGCAAGACGGAAAGACCCCGUGAACCUUUACUAUAGCUUGACACUGAACAUUGAGCCUUGAUGUGUAGGAUAGGUGGGAGGCUUUGAAGUGUGGACGCCAGUCUGCAUGGAGCCGACCUUGAAAUACCACCCUUUAAUGUUUGAUGUUCUAACGUUGACCCGUAAUCCGGGUUGCGGACAGUGUCUGGUGGGUAGUUUGACUGGGGCGGUCUCCUCCUAAAGAGUAACGGAGGAGCACGAAGGUUGGCUAAUCCUGGUCGGACAUCAGGAGGUUAGUGCAAUGGCAUAAGCCAGCUUGACUGCGAGCGUGACGGCGCGAGCAGGUGCGAAAGCAGGUCAUAGUGAUCCGGUGGUUCUGAAUGGAAGGGCCAUCGCUCAACGGAUAAAAGGUACUCCGGGGAUAACAGGCUGAUACCGCCCAAGAGUUCAUAUCGACGGCGGUGUUUGGCACCUCGAUGUCGGCUCAUCACAUCCUGGGGCUGAAGUAGGUCCCAAGGGUAUGGCUGUUCGCCAUUUAAAGUGGUACGCGAGCUGGGUUUAGAACGUCGUGAGACAGUUCGGUCCCUAUCUGCCGUGGGCGCUGGAGAACUGAGGGGGGCUGCUCCUAGUACGAGAGGACCGGAGUGGACGCAUCACUGGUGUUCGGGUUGUCAUGCCAAUGGCACUGCCCGGUAGCUAAAUGCGGAAGAGAUAAGUGCUGAAAGCAUCUAAGCACGAAACUUGCCCCGAGAUGAGUUCUCCCUGACUCCUUGAGAGUCCUGAAGGAACGUUGAAGACGACGACGUUGAUAGGCCGGGUGUGUAAGCGCAGCGAUGCGUUGAGCUAACCGGUACUAAUGAACCGUGAGGCUUAACCUUACAACGCCGAAG